GACGAACGCUGGCGGCGUGCUUAACACAUGCAAGUCGAACGGAAAGGCCCUGCUUUUGUGGGGUGCUCGAGUGGCGAACGGGUGAGUAACACGUGAGUAACCUGCCCUUGACUUUGGGAUAACUUCAGGAAACUGGGGCUAAUACCGGAUAGGAGCUCCUGCUGCAUGGUGGGGGUUGGAAAGUUUCGGCGGUUGGGGAUGGACUCGCGGCUUAUCAGCUUGUUGGUGGGGUAGUGGCUUACCAAGGCUUUGACGGGUAGCCGGCCUGAGAGGGUGACCGGGGACAUAGGGAGAGCAAGCGGCGCACGGCGAGGGAGGAGGGCAGCGGGGGAGAAUAGUGGACAGGGGGGGGGAGUCGGGUGGGGGGCGCCGGGGGGGAGGGGGCGGGCUCUGGGGUUGUAAGCCUCUUUCGCGUGUGAGGAGGCGGGAGUGAAGGAAAGGGGGAAAGAAUCAGCGGCUAAGUAGGUGCCAGCGGCGGCGGUAGAGGUAAAGAAAGCAACGUCUGAAC
This 508-nucleotide ribosomal RNA is filed under the name uncultured bacterium. RNAcentral's name for it is "partial 16S ribosomal RNA". The stretch from base 20 to 329 matches the Rfam family "Bacterial small subunit ribosomal RNA", at positions 47 to 358 of the family's 1533-position model. The record is from RNAcentral.